GCGGAAGUAGUUCAGUGGUAGAAUGCCUCCUUGCCAAGGAGGAGGUCGCGGGUUCGAAUCCCGUCUUCCGCUCCA
RNAcentral lists this transfer RNA (75 nucleotides) under Chloroflexi bacterium RBG_16_56_11. Its description in RNAcentral is "tRNA-Gly". It matches the Rfam family "tRNA". From Rfam's summary of the family: Transfer RNA (tRNA) molecules are approximately 80 nucleotides in length. Their secondary structure includes four short double-helical elements and three loops (D, anti-codon, and T loops). Further hydrogen bonds mediate the characteristic L-shaped molecular structure. tRNAs have two regions of fundamental functional importance: the anti-codon, which is responsible for specific mRNA codon recognition, and the 3' end, to which the tRNAs corresponding amino acid is attached (by aminoacyl-tRNA synthetases). tRNAs cope with the degeneracy of the genetic code in two manners: having more than one tRNA (with a specific anti-codon) for a particular amino acid; and 'wobble' base-pairing, i.e. permitting non-standard base-pairing at the 3rd anti-codon position. Lineage: Bacteria; Bacillati; Chloroflexota. The record is from RNAcentral.